This is a long non-coding RNA of Manis javanica (Malayan pangolin), 824 nucleotides long. RefSeq lists it as uncharacterized. The record is from RefSeq and is a predicted model, not a curated record. Lineage: Eukaryota; Metazoa; Chordata; Mammalia; Pholidota; Manidae.
GACAACUAGGGCUGAAUCCCCUGCAGAAAUUUGGGAGACUACGAAGAGCCCAUUCCACAGAACUGUCGCCACCAAGAGGUGAGGAAGAUCCUCCAAACUGCUUUGUCCCUGGUUGAAGAGAGUAUCUGGGGGCAUCGAAUCCUCCAGUUCAUCCUACCCACUUUGCCAGAUGGCUGAAUCCACUUCUCCAGCCAGAGUUCUUAUCUAUAUUUGGCUACCCGAGACCAACUCUGCCUCAAAGACAAGAGGAGAAAAACAAACAAACCCAAAAUUCAACUGACUGAAAGUCUGUCCACCUACACAUCCAAUCCUGGGAUCCAGUCAGUGACAUGGACCUACAGCAGUUCCUUACCAAAAAGCAACUCACAGCCAAUUGUUUAGAAGAUGGUGAAAUCAUUGAGCUGUGCGUUUUCUCCACACAACACCACAGAAAUCAAUAGCUGUUUGAGUACUUCAUCAUAAUCUGGGGAAGCCCAUCAUUCCUGCAAAAUUGUAAAGCCACAUCAUUUAUGAAGUAAGCCCGACCAACCUGCCAAAUUUUUCUGGUCAUAAAGAUCCUGUUUUGGCUCGAUCUACUCUGGUAUUUUGAAGAGUUGUGAUUUUCUUACAAAAACUACUGGACAAACGACCCAAGGAUAUUCCAUCUGAUCCUCUGAUAAGAAUACUGGUGGGACAGCUCUGUGUGUGAUAAUCCCACACCGAAAAGGACCAAUGCCCACAACAGCAAAAUGGAUGAACAAACUGAGAAUGGAGACUGGAAGAGGCUGGCAGAAGAAACAAGAGACAUACAAACUAUUGCAUGAAGUAUUCACACCAAAAUCAAG